CAGCCGCCGCGGUAAUACGAAGGGGGCUAGCGUUGCUCGGAAUUACUGGGCGUAAAGGGAGCGUAGGCGGACAUUUAAGUCAGGGGUGAAAUCCCAGAGCUCAACCCUGGAACUGCCUUUGAUACUGGGUGUCUUGAGUGUGAUAGAGGUAUGUGGAACUCCGAGUGUAGAGGUGAAAUUCGUAGAUAUUCGGAAGAACACCAGUGGCGAAGGCGACAUACUGGAUCAUUACUGACGCUGAGGCUCGAAAGCGUGGGGAGCAAACAGGAUUAGAUACCCCUGUAGUCCCUGUCUCUUAUAC
RNAcentral lists this ribosomal RNA (301 nucleotides) under uncultured bacterium. RNAcentral describes it as "partial 16S ribosomal RNA". It matches the Rfam family "Bacterial small subunit ribosomal RNA", at positions 509 to 807 of the family's 1533-position model. The record is from RNAcentral.